This 823-nucleotide ribosomal RNA is filed under the name uncultured bacterium. RNAcentral describes it as "bacterial SSU rRNA". It matches the Rfam family "Bacterial small subunit ribosomal RNA", at positions 8 to 813 of the family's 1533-position model. The record is from RNAcentral.
AGAGUUUGAUCCUGGCUCAGGAUGAACGCUGGCGGCGUGCCUAAUACAUGCAAGUCGAACGCACAGCGAAAGGUGCUUGCACCUUUCAAGUGAGUGGCGAACGGGUGAGUAACACGUGGAUAACCUACCUCAAGGUUGGGGAUAACAUUUGGAAACAGAUGCUAAUACCGAAUAAAACUUCGUAUCGCAUGAUACGAGGUUAAAAGGCGCUACGGCGUCACCUAGAGAUGGAUCCGCGGUGCAUUAGUUAGUUGGUGGGGUAAAGGCCUACCAAGACAAUGAUGCAUAGCCGAGUUGAGAGACUGAUCGGCCACAUUGGGACUGAGACACGGCCCAAACUCCUACGGGAGGCUGCAGUAGGGAAUCUUCCACAAUGGGCGAAAGCCUGAUGGAGCAACGCCGCGUGUGUGAUGAAGGCUUUCGGGUCGUAAAGCACUGUUGUAUGGGAAGAACAGCUAGAGUAGGGAAUGACUUUAGUUUGACGGUACCAUACCAGAAAGGGACGGCUAAAUACGUGCCAGCAGCCGCGGUAAUACGUAUGUCCCGAGCGUUAUCCGGAUUUAUUGGGCGUAAAGCGAGCGCAGACGGUUGAUUAAGUCUGAUGUGAAAGCCCGGAGCUCAACUCCGGAAAGGCAUUGGAAACUGGUCAACUUGAGUGCAGUAGAGGUAAGUGGAACUCCAUGUGUAGCGGUGGAAUGCGUAGAUAUAUGGAAGAACACCAGCGGCGAAGGCGGCUUACUGGACUGUAACUGACGUUGAGGCUCGAAAGUGUGGGUAGCAAACAGGAUUAGAUACCCUGGUAGUCCACACCGUAAACGAUGAA